Molecule: long non-coding RNA, 2541 nt
Organism: Capsicum annuum
Lineage: Eukaryota; Viridiplantae; Streptophyta; Magnoliopsida; Solanales; Solanaceae
Exons: 2
Source: RefSeq, a predicted model, not a curated record
UAUAGGCUAAGGCUACAGCCUACAGCAGCCCACACCCAAAUCCAAAACCAAAAAUUCAAUUAUAAAUAGUAAAUUAGGUCAAAACAAAACAAAGCUUUACUACUUUAGUUUGCAAAUUGAAAUUGCAUCUGCUUCUCCUCCUCACUCCAUAGCCUUUAGUAAAAAUUUGGUCAAAACUCAAAAACGAAGAACGAAGGAAAUGACGUAGUACGAACAAGCAAAGGGAAUCAGUCGCCUGUCUAACGAGAAACGGUAACAGCGGCGAACGAAGUUGGUUCAACUGAUAGCAUACCCGAUAAAAGAAAUGACAACUCAAUUGACAUUGCUGUCAAUUUUCUAGCAUCAAGUGAUUAGAAGUCCCUUUCUGUACAACACUGGAAAUGAUUUAAGGGUUCUUGGCAUGUAACAUUUGCAAUGCAAAAUGGAAAAUGGAACAUAGCAUAAGUGGAACAGUUGCUGGCUUACUGCAAGACUUUAUAAGUGGCUCAUACAGUCAUGCAUUUAUAGAAAAUGCAAUAAUCAAGGCGCUAAAAUGGGAUAGUUGCAAAACCAAAAAACCGAAUUUAUUAACUAGAAACAUAACCGAACCAAACUGAAAUAAACCAAACCAAACCAAAAUAAUUCAGUUCAAAUUACGGUAUACCUAAAUAGAAAACCGAAAACCAAAAAAACAAAUUAAAAACACCGAAACCGAAUCGUAUUCCCAAAUGCCCACCCUUAGUAACAAGGGUAAGAGAUGGAAAGUCAAACAACAAGGUAAAGCAAUUGAAAGCCAAGAAACAAGUUGAAGAACUUACAAGUCAGGAGUCCACUUGAAGAAUAGGGUGAUGAAACUCAAGUAAAAAUUUCAAAAGAAGAUGCGUAGAUAGGAUUUUUGUAAUUUCAUUUAUGUUUUAACUUGUAAUUUUCAUUUUGAUGUAAUGAAAGAGUCACGGACUGGAACCUCGAUGGAACCUCACUCGACUCUCUAACUCGGUACAGUCCACUUCUCAUUCCAACCCUUUAAGAUACCAAUGACUUGACUCUCACAUGACUUGGGAUGAGUGUAAUGUCCAAAAUUAAGACCUGUUUUUUCCCUUCCUUCUGUUUCAUUCUUUUUGAAUAAUAAUCAGGAUAAAAUUCUGUCUCAUUGUCUACUUCUUUGUAUGAAAACACCUUGUAUUUACAUCAAAAGGGGCAUGAUGUAGACACAUAAUUUUGUCCCUCCCCAAAAUAUUUUUACUCAUUUUUAUUCACCUCACCAUAUACUUUUUUCUUAGUUGAUAAUUUUCCCCCCAAAAGAAUAAAAAAUAAUCAAAUACAUAACACCUUUGACACUUCACCAUGCCACCUCACACACCACUCCCCAUUUUUCUUUACAUACACAAAAAAAUGCAUGCACCACUCACCUCACACGCUCAUUCACAUGGGACCCACACACUCAACAUAUAUUUACACAUGCCACAUCACAGUGCUCCACACCCCAUCUUCCAUCACACAUAAUUAACACACAAAAAAUACUAAAAAAGGGCCCACACAGUGAUUUUGGGGGAAUUACAUGCAGAUAGGGGAUUGGCAUGUAUAUACUCACAUAGAUAAUUUCUAUAUAGAAGAGAUACAUAAUCAUUUGUUUCUUAUUUUUUUUUAAGGAGUAAUAAUAUAUACAUCAUCAACAAUUGGGUUUUGGGGGGGGGGGGGGGGGGAAUUUGGAUGAAAAACACAACCACAGGGUUUUUGGGGUUUUCUUCUUCACGAUAUAUACACAGAUGACCAAAAACCGAGAGAGAUAGAGAAAAGAGGGAUCACUGGAAAAGGAUGUUUUUCUUCUUCUUCUUCUUCAAAGGAAUACACACAGACAAAUAGAGGGAGAUAUACAGAGAGAGAUGAGAAUAGAAGGGAUUUUGGGUUUCUUCACCAACACAGGAAGGACAUCACUUUUGGUUUUCCUUUUUUUCUCGCACAUAAGAUGCUCACACACACAGAGUAGAGAGAAGCAAAAAUGAAGGGAGUUUGACGGAAUUCAGUGAAAGAAUAGGAAAAAUGGCAAAAACUCAACUUCCAUUCAAGCUAAUUUUUGGCGACUUUGGUGUAUAAAUCAUGUUUCACUCGUCAGGUGUCUGAAUCAGUCCCAAAAUCAUCCCUAUUUUUCUUCAAUUUCUAGAAGUGAUCUAGACAAAAUCCAAUCAUUUUAAUUAUUUUGGGUAUGGUUAGCUCAUCGGAGCUUAAUUUUAUCAGUCUUCAGUUCUUCGCUGGAAUUUAGAGAGCUUUGGGUUUCGUCUGUUUUGGGAUUUGAUUUUUCAUUCGUCUCGAUUAGUUUUGGGUUUUAAAUUCCUCCAUAUCUGAGUUGGAGUUAGUCACUAUUGAAGUUCUAUUCGGAAUUCUAAAGUCCAAACUUUCUUAAAUAUUAUUAUCAACAGAAAUCGAUUAUCAGAAGGUCCAAUUCUACUCUUUCCCUCUUUUACUUUAUCAUUUUACUAUAUUUUGGUGUCUUUGGAUUGAAUAUCAUGUGUUGUUUGAUCCUUGUUGGUAAUUGAAUAUUGGUGAGGUUGAUUUGUUGUUCAA